This 273-nucleotide ribosomal RNA is filed under the name uncultured Bacteroides sp. RNAcentral's name for it is "partial 16S ribosomal RNA". It matches the Rfam family "Bacterial small subunit ribosomal RNA", at positions 69 to 339 of the family's 1533-position model. Lineage: Bacteria; Pseudomonadati; Bacteroidota; Bacteroidia; Bacteroidales; Bacteroidaceae. The record is from RNAcentral.
AUGGUCUUAGCUUGCUAAGGCCGAUGGCGACCGGCGCACGGGUGAGUAACACGUAUCCAACCUGCCGUCUACUCUUGGACAGCCUUUUGAAAGGAAGAUUAAUACAAGAUGGCAUCAUGAGUCCGCAUGUUCACAUGAUUAAAGGUAUUCCGGUAGACGAUGGGGAUGCGUUCCAUUAGGUAGUAGGCGGGGUAACGGCCCACCUAGCCAACGAUGGAUAGGGGUUCUGAGAGGAAGAUCCCCACACUGGAACUGAGACACGGUCCAGACUCC